GACUCCAUGUCCUAAUGGAUAAGGUGCUCGUCUACGAAACCAGAGAUUUUAGGUUCAAUCCCUAGUGGAGUCG
Ipomoea nil (Japanese morning glory) is the source of this 73-nucleotide transfer RNA. It matches the Rfam family "tRNA". From Rfam's summary of the family: Transfer RNA (tRNA) molecules are approximately 80 nucleotides in length. Their secondary structure includes four short double-helical elements and three loops (D, anti-codon, and T loops). The record is from Rfam. Lineage: Eukaryota; Viridiplantae; Streptophyta; Magnoliopsida; Solanales; Convolvulaceae.